CGCCCAUCGUCUAGCGGUUAGGACGCCGCCCUUUCACGGCGGAAACAGGGGUUCGAUUCCCCCCCUUGGGCG
RNAcentral lists this transfer RNA (72 nucleotides) under Brucella intermedia 229E. RNAcentral's name for it is "Ochrobactrum intermedium 229E tRNA". It matches the Rfam family "tRNA". Rfam says of the family: Transfer RNA (tRNA) molecules are approximately 80 nucleotides in length. Their secondary structure includes four short double-helical elements and three loops (D, anti-codon, and T loops). Further hydrogen bonds mediate the characteristic L-shaped molecular structure. tRNAs have two regions of fundamental functional importance: the anti-codon, which is responsible for specific mRNA codon recognition, and the 3' end, to which the tRNAs corresponding amino acid is attached (by aminoacyl-tRNA synthetases). tRNAs cope with the degeneracy of the genetic code in two manners: having more than one tRNA (with a specific anti-codon) for a particular amino acid; and 'wobble' base-pairing, i.e. permitting non-standard base-pairing at the 3rd anti-codon position. Lineage: Bacteria; Pseudomonadati; Pseudomonadota; Alphaproteobacteria; Hyphomicrobiales; Brucellaceae. The record is from Rfam by way of RNAcentral.